This 445-nucleotide ribosomal RNA is filed under the name uncultured bacterium. Its description in RNAcentral is "bacterial SSU rRNA". It matches the Rfam family "Bacterial small subunit ribosomal RNA", at positions 29 to 459 of the family's 1533-position model. The record is from RNAcentral.
ACGAACGCUGGCGGCGUGGAUAAGACAUGCAAGUCGAACGGGAUUACUUUUGUAGCAAUACAAAGUAAUUCAGUGGCGAACGGGUGCGUAACACGUGGGCAAUCUGCCGAAAAGUGGGGGAUAGCUCGCCGAAAGGCGAAUUAAUACCGCAUGUGGUGAGGGACGACAUCUUCCUGAAUCCAAAGCCGGGGCAACCUGGCGCUUUUUUGAGGAGCCCGCGGCCUAUCAGCUUGUUGGCGGGGUAACGGCCCACCAAGGCUUUGACGGGUAGCUGGUCUGAGAGGACGACCAGUCACACUGGAACUGAGACACGGGUCCAGACACCUACGGGUGGCAGCAGUCGAGAAUUUUUCUCAAUGGGGGAAACCCUGAAGGAGCGACGCCGCGUGGAGGAUGAAGGCUUUCGGGUUGUAAACUCCUGUCAUUUGGGAACAAGGUGCAUCGG